UGGUCUGCAGCUGGCUACUGUGGAUUUGUAGGAGAGGAGCUAGCAUCACCAAUUAGUGGGAUUUGACAUGAGCAAGUGCUUUUAUUUGGAAGGAAAUAAAGAAUUGAAAGGAAGAUGACCACGGCCCCUCUGUUCCCUCGCCUGUGUGCCAAAUGGAUCCACAGCUAGAGACAAGCUCCUUCCCUUUGAACGGUGGGAAGCAGGCCAAGAUGUUUUAAAGACAGAUGGCAUCAGCUGCAGAGAAGCAAGCUGGAACUCGGAGCACAGCUGCCUUAUUUACUUACCUACUGGCUGCAUUUCUGAGAACCAGUUUUAUUCCUGUUCAAAGGAAGCCAGGCAGAGUUGGGAAAAUAUUUUCCUAGCCAGCUCCUUAGCACCACUGUCUGAGGGAAACCAUCUGGCCAAGAUGCCCUUCAA
Molecule: long non-coding RNA, 417 nt
Organism: Pan troglodytes (chimpanzee)
Lineage: Eukaryota; Metazoa; Chordata; Mammalia; Primates; Hominidae
Exons: 3
Source: RefSeq, a predicted model, not a curated record